This is a long non-coding RNA of Notothenia coriiceps (black rockcod), 740 nucleotides long. RefSeq lists it as uncharacterized. The record is from RefSeq and is a predicted model, not a curated record. The transcript is spliced from 3 exons. Lineage: Eukaryota; Metazoa; Chordata; Actinopteri; Perciformes; Nototheniidae.
GAUGUACAUGUACUUGGCUGCUGGGAUCGUGCCGUUCAUCAUCAUAGCCAUAAUCAUAUCUGUAGUAUUGAUGCGUGGGUGUGAAGGCGAAUCAAAGAACGAGACGCAAGCUGAAGUCUAGUACAUUGCAAUCCCAGCCAAGCAACCCAUACCACACGGCAGCCUCCAGCCCUCGCCAAGAAGAAUUUAAUCUGUGCCUCCAUCUCAAAGACCCUUGUGGACAAAAAUAACCAAGAAAAAAUGCAAAUGACCUUCAUUGUUGUUGUUUUUUUAUAUAUACUUAAUUUUGUAUGUCUUGUAAAUUGCACUGUUUAGGAAAAUGCGAUCUAAGUUUUUCAUACUUUACACCGUAGUUGUGUGUAUGUUAUGUCAAACACCUUUAAAUCUCUUGAAGUAUGCUUUAAAACCACCAAAUCUGAAAAACCAAUUCACUUUUGUGAGACUGACCGUUAAACGGCCCGACCAACCAAGGAGGCAGAGGCAGAACGUCUAAAAAUAUAACCCGACGUGGGCAUUUAUUAAAAUAAUGUGCACAAAGUUCACAGCCUCAAUCCUGCUUUUCUCCGUGAACACAUCCUGCAGCCACAAAGAUCUCACACACUACCAGCCUCUAGAAAACAGCACCUAAAUACACACACUGACUAACAAGACACAGGUGAGGGGGAGCAAUUAGACACAGGUGAGGGGGGAGGAGACAACACAGGGCACCAGGUGCACACAAUCAGCAACAGACAUGGGGA